UACGUAGGGUGCAGGCGUUAAUCGGAAUUACUGGGCGUAAAGCGUGCGCAGGCGGUUUGCUAAGACAGGUGUGAAAUCCCCGGGCUUAACCUGGGAACUGCGCUUGUAACUGGCAAGCUUGAGUGUGGCAGAGGGGGGUGGAAUUCCACGUGUAGCAGUGAAAUGCGUAGAGAUCGUAAGGAAGGCCAGUGGCGAAGGCGAGUUCCUGGACAGUGACUGACGCUGAGGCACGAAGGCCAGGGGAGCAAACGGG
RNAcentral lists this ribosomal RNA (253 nucleotides) under uncultured bacterium. Its description in RNAcentral is "partial 16S ribosomal RNA". It matches the Rfam family "Bacterial small subunit ribosomal RNA", at positions 524 to 776 of the family's 1533-position model. The record is from RNAcentral.